GAUGAACGCUGGCGGCGUGCUUAACACAUGCAAGUCGAACGGAAAGGCCCAAGCUUGCUUGGGUACUCGAGUGGCGAACGGGUGAGUAACACGUGGGUGAUCUGCCCUGCACUUCGGGAUAAGCCUGGGAAACUGGGUCUAAUACCGGAUAGGACCACAUUUUGGAUGGUGUGGUGGAAAGUUUUUCGGUGUGGGAUGAGCUCGCGGCCUAUCAGCUUGUUGGUGGGGUAAUGGCCUACCAAGGCGUCGACGGGUAGCCGGCCUGAGAGGGUGUACGGCCACAUUGGGACUGAGAUACGGCCCAGACUCCGACGGGAGGCAGCAGUGGGGAAUAUUGCACAAUGGGCGCAAGCCUGAUGCAGCGACGCCGCGUGGGGGAUGACGGCCUUCGGGUUGUAAACUCCUUUCGCUAGGGACGAAGCGUUUUUGUGACGGUACCUGGAGAAGAAGCACCGGCUAACUACGUG
This 467-nucleotide ribosomal RNA is filed under the name uncultured bacterium. RNAcentral's name for it is "partial 16S ribosomal RNA". It matches the Rfam family "Bacterial small subunit ribosomal RNA", at positions 28 to 507 of the family's 1533-position model. The record is from RNAcentral.